Gekko japonicus is the source of this 399-nucleotide long non-coding RNA. RefSeq lists it as uncharacterized. The transcript is spliced from 4 exons. NCBI's taxonomy places the organism in Eukaryota, Metazoa, Chordata, Lepidosauria, Squamata, Gekkonidae. The record is from RefSeq and is a predicted model, not a curated record.
AUAGGAGAUCAGUACGAGAAUAUGCCUGAGUCUCCAGCGUCCUCACGGCAUUCACUCGGAGAAUAUGUCAAUGUGCUUGAACCAGAUCCCACCAUCCUAGACCUUUGUGUUGAAGGUGGCAAUAGUGACCUGGAAAGUGAAGAUGACACUCCAGACUAUGAGAACAUCAUCUGCCCUAGAGUUUGAGGCUGGAAAGCUAAUUCCGAAGCAGUAUUCUUUAGUGACUCCGAUUGCCUCCAUGUGGGAUGGAUUGCGGAUGAUCUUGUUAAGCUGAGGACACCCCACCCACCCCCAAUCAGUUGCCCGAAUGCUGCCAUAACUUAUUGUCCUUCUUUGCACUUUGGUUGACAAAUCCUGAGAAUUCCCCACAAUCUUUUGGUGUCUCCCCAUCCAAGCUCA